Molecule: ribosomal RNA, 484 nt
Filed under: uncultured bacterium
Lineage: Bacteria
Description: partial 16S ribosomal RNA
Rfam family: Bacterial small subunit ribosomal RNA
Source: RNAcentral
AUUGAACGCUGGCGGCAGGCCUAACACAUGCAAGUCGAGCGGAUGAGCGGAGCUUGCUCCUUGAUUUAGCUGCGGACGGGUGAGUAAUUCCUAGGAAUCUGCCUGGUAUUGGGGGAUAACGUUCCGAAAGGAACGCUAAUACCGCAUACGUCCUACUUUAGAAAGCAGUGGAUCUUCGGGCCUUGCGCUAUCAGAUGAGCCUAGGUCGGAUUAGCUAGUUGGUGAGGUAAUGGCUCACCAAGGCGACGAUCCGUAACUGGUCUGAGAGGAUGAUCAGUCACACUGGAACUGAGACACGGUCCAGACUCCUACGGGAGGCAGCAGUGGGGAAUAUUGGACAAUGGGCGAAAGCCUGAUCCAGCCAUGCCGCGUGUGUGAAGAAGGUCUUCGGAUUGUAAAGCACUUUAAGUUGGGAGGAAGGGAAGUAAGCUAAUACCUUGAUGUUUUGACGUUACCGACAGAAUAAGCACCGGCUAACUUCGUG